RNAcentral lists this ribosomal RNA (755 nucleotides) under Ocinebrina reinai. RNAcentral describes it as "partial 16S ribosomal RNA". The stretch from base 1 to 584 matches the Rfam family "Bacterial large subunit ribosomal RNA", at positions 1817 to 2925 of the family's 2925-position model. The record is from RNAcentral. Lineage: Eukaryota; Metazoa; Mollusca; Gastropoda; Neogastropoda; Muricidae.
GGCUCCUUGUAAAUUAAAAAUAAGGAGUCGGACCUGCCCAGUGAAAUUUUUCAACGGCCGCGGUACUCUGACCGUGCAAAGGUAGCAUAAUCAUUUGCCUUAUAAUUGAAGGCUUGUAUGAAUGGUUUGACAAGAAUGAAGCUGUCUCUCUAUAAUUAAUUAAAAUUUUAUUUAUAGGUGAAGAAGCCUAUAUUAUAUUGAAAGACAAGAAGACCCUAUCGAGCUUUAAAUAAGUCAAUAAAUUAAGAAAUUUAUAUUCGAAUAUAAAUUUUGUUAUUGGGUAAUUUUAGUUGGGGCGACUAAGGAACAGAUAAAGCUUCCUAUAUAAAAUUAGUACAUCCAAGUUUUGAUCCAAGCAUUUUGAUUAAAGAAAUUAGUUACCGUAGGGAUAACAGCAUUAUCUUUUUUGAGAGUUCUAAUCGAAAAAAAGGUUUGUGACCUCGAUGUUGGACCAGAAUAUCCUAAAGAUGCAGCCGUCUUUAAGGGUUGGUCUGUUCGACCAUUAAAAUUCUACGUGAUCUGAGUUCAGACCGGCGUGAGCCAGGUCAGUUUCUAUCUUCAAUUUAUAUAGUGAGCUUAGUACGAAAGGACCAGUUUACUGUAAGAAUACUUACUAUGUCUGAUAAAGUAUAAAGAAUUAUUAAAUUAAUAAUAGUAUAAAAUAAAUCAAAUUAGCAAAGAUUUAAUGCAAUUGACUUAGGAUCAAUAGACAUAGGUGAAAUUCCUUUAUUUGAUACAUAGAGGUGGCAGAUGAA